This 253-nucleotide ribosomal RNA is filed under the name uncultured bacterium. RNAcentral's name for it is "partial 16S ribosomal RNA". It matches the Rfam family "Bacterial small subunit ribosomal RNA", at positions 524 to 776 of the family's 1533-position model. The record is from RNAcentral.
UACGUAGGGGGCAAGCGUUGUCCGGAAUCAUUGGGCGUAAAGAGCGCGUAGGCGGUCCGGUAAGUCCGCUCUGAAAGUCCGGGGCUCAACCCCGGGAGGCGGGCGGAUACUGCCGGGCUAGAGUCCGGAAGAGGCGAGUGGAAUUCCUGGUGUAGCGGUGAAAUGCGCAGAUAUCAGGAAGAACACCCGUGGCUAAGGCGGCUCUCUAGUACGGUACUGACGCUGAGACGCGAAAGCGUGGGGAGCGAACAGG